This 888-nucleotide ribosomal RNA is filed under the name uncultured bacterium. RNAcentral describes it as "bacterial SSU rRNA". It matches the Rfam family "Bacterial small subunit ribosomal RNA", at positions 8 to 916 of the family's 1533-position model. The record is from RNAcentral.
AGAGUUUGAUCAUGGCUCAGGACGAACGCUGGCGGUGUGCUUAAUACAUGCAAGUCGAACGUGAAGCUGACUUCGGUCAGUGGAAAGUGGCGGACGGGUGAGUAACACGUAGGUAAUCUGCCUUAAGGUGGGGGACAACGUUGGGAAACCGACGCUAAUACCCCAUAUGUGGUAAGUUGAAAUACUUAUUAUGAAAGUUCCGGCGCCUUAAGAUGAGCCUGCGGCUGAUUAGUUUGUUGGUGAGGUAAUGGCUUACCAAGACUAUGAUCAGUAGCUGGUCUGAGAGGAUGAUCAGCCACAAUGGGACUGAGACACGGCCCAUACUCCUACGGGAGGCAGCAGUAGGGAAUUUUGCGCAAUGGAGGAAACUCUGACGCAGCAACACCGCGUGAGUGAUGAAGCAUCUUGGUGUGUAAAACUCUGUCAGUAGGGACGAAUUUUGACGGUACCUACAAAGGAAGCAUCGGCUAACUACGUGCCAGCAGCCGCGGUAAGACGUAGGAUGCGAGCGUUGUCCGGAAUUAUUGGGCGUAAAGAGUUCGUAGGCGGCAUGAAAAGUCUGGUGUUAAAGCCCGGGGCUCAACUCCGGUUCGGCAUUGGAUACUUUCAAGCUAGAGUACAGAAGAGGCAAAGGGAAUUCCUAGUGUAGCGGUGAAAUGCGUAGAUAUUAGGAGGAACACCGGUGGCGUAAGCGCUUUGCUGGGCUGUAACUGACGCUGAGGAACGAAAGCCAGGGGAGCAAAUGGGAUUAGAUACCCCAGUAGUCCUGGCCGUAAACGAUGGAUACUAGGUGUUGUGGGUAUCGACCCCCGCAGUGCUGCAGCUAACGCAAUAAGUAUCCCGCCUGGGGAGUACGCACGCAAGUGUGAAACUCAAAUGAAUUGACGG